AGGAGGGGUGAUGAGCGGAGGGAGGACUCGGCCUUCGGGCAAACUAGGGGGGCUGGCAGCUCCCCGGGUCGCACCUUUGGGGAUGGGCAUGGGUCAGCCCAGCCCGGCUCUGGCCCAGUGCAGGCAGGAGGUUCGGGUGUCCGCCCACAAACUGGCCUGGGAAAUGGAUACGCAUCCGUUUUUCUGUUGCUGGACUUAGUUUCUGCCUCAGGCUUCCCUCUGCCAGCCUGCAUGCAAGUCCAAGCUGUAUUUUCCUGGAAGUGUGCUCACGUGAUGCAGAGGCGUUGGACAUACGCAAUUUGGGAGAGGGAGAGAGAGAGAAACAUCAAUGAUGAGAGGCAGUCAUCGAUCAACUGCCUCCUGCACGCCCCCUACUGGGAAUCGAGCCCGCAGCCCCGGCAUGUGCCCUAGACGGGAAUCAAACCUGGGACCCUUCAGUCCGAAGGCCAACACUCUAUCCACGGAGUCAAACCGGCGAGGGCUAUUUUACGACAGUUUUGUAUAAGAGGACAAGUUAUACAUUAAAAAAAAAACAAAACUGACAAGUGCCACAAAUAUCACAAAAUUUAGAAAAAUGACCUUUGUGUGGAUUAA
Eptesicus fuscus (big brown bat) is the source of this 594-nucleotide long non-coding RNA. RefSeq lists it as uncharacterized. The record is from RefSeq and is a predicted model, not a curated record. The transcript has 2 exons. NCBI's taxonomy places the organism in Eukaryota, Metazoa, Chordata, Mammalia, Chiroptera, Vespertilionidae.